AAGGAUCAUUAAACGUAUCCACGUAUAACCCAAUGAGAACUGGUUUUCUAAACCCCCUGUGUAACUGGUGGCGUUUGAGAUAGCGUGAGUGCACGGGUGAGGGAGUGAUUUCCCUUAGAGCUCUGCUCAUCGAUGUCACGCGUUACACGGGUCACAACAAAUCCUGUGAGUGUUUCUUAUUUUUACCACAAACCCUUUGUAAUUCUUUGAUGAACUUUGUUUGAUGUGGGAAACCACUUCGAACGUUAAAAAAAUGAAACUUAAGCACAACUCUUAACAACGGAUAUCUAGGCUCUC
Molecule: unclassified non-coding RNA, 297 nt
Filed under: uncultured fungus
Lineage: Eukaryota; Fungi
Description: partial contains 18S rRNA, ITS1, 5.8S rRNA, ITS2 and 28S rRNA
Source: RNAcentral